GGCCUCGUGGCGGAGUGGUGACGCAGCGGCCUGCAAAGCCGUGUACGCCGGUUCGAUUCCGGCCGAGGCCUCCA
This 74-nucleotide transfer RNA is filed under the name Parvularcula dongshanensis. Its description in RNAcentral is "tRNA-Cys". It matches the Rfam family "tRNA". From Rfam's summary of the family: Transfer RNA (tRNA) molecules are approximately 80 nucleotides in length. Their secondary structure includes four short double-helical elements and three loops (D, anti-codon, and T loops). Lineage: Bacteria; Pseudomonadati; Pseudomonadota; Alphaproteobacteria; Parvularculales; Parvularculaceae. The record is from RNAcentral.